RNAcentral lists this small RNA (725 nucleotides) under Pan troglodytes (chimpanzee). RNAcentral's name for it is "retained intron". The record is from RNAcentral. Lineage: Eukaryota; Metazoa; Chordata; Mammalia; Primates; Hominidae.
CAGAAGCUGCAGGAGAUCAUGAAGCAGACGGGCUACCUGACCAUCGGGGGCCAGCGCUACCAGGCAGAAAUCAACGACCUGGAGAACUUGGGCGAGAUGGGCAGCGGCACCUGCGGCCAGGUUUGGAAGAUGCGCUUCCGGAAGACCGGCCACGUCAUUGCCGUUAAGGUGAGCCUUGGCGGCUACCCCGGCUGCGCCCCACACCCCAGGCCGGUGCUAAGGCUCCCUCCUGUCCCUGCCUGUGCAGCAAAUGCGGCGCUCGGGGAACAAGGAGGAGAACAAGCGCAUCCUCAUGGACCUGGAUGUGGUGCUCAAGAGCCACGACUGCCCCUACAUCGUGCAGUGCUUUGGGACGUUCAUCACCAACGUGAGUCCCUGGCCGCGCCCUGCAGCGUCUCCUCCUCCCUCACCCCUGCCCCUUCCUAGGGAGCAGAGCCUUUGGGGGGUGGGCCAGAAGACACAGCUCCCCCGGGUGCCCCCUCUCCCUGCAGACGGACGUCUUCAUCGCCAUGGAGCUCAUGGGCACCUGCGCUGAAAAGCUCAAGAAGCGGAUGCAGGGCCCCAUUCCCGAGCGCAUUCUGGGCAAGAUGACAGUGGCGAUUGUGAAGGCGCUGUACUACCUGAAGGAGAAGCACGGUGUCAUCCACCGCGACGUCAAGCCCUCCAACAUCCUGCUGGACGAGCGGGGCCAGAUCAAGCUCUGCGACUUCGGCAUCAGCGGCCGC